Brassica napus (rape) is the source of this 1444-nucleotide long non-coding RNA. RefSeq lists it as uncharacterized. Lineage: Eukaryota; Viridiplantae; Streptophyta; Magnoliopsida; Brassicales; Brassicaceae. The transcript is spliced from 9 exons. The record is from RefSeq and is a predicted model, not a curated record.
AGCCACUAGCCCAUUAAAGCCCAGUAUCGAAACUCUAGAUUUUCUCACGCGUUGCGAUCAUUUCGUCUCCCUCUUUUCGUUUUCCUUCUUCUUCUACAUUUUCAUCGAUCGAACGACGUUUUGUCUCUCCAUCUUCACUGCAACCGAUCUGUAGAGUAAUCAAUUGUCCGUUUCGGUUUGAUUGAUGGCUUCCUCUCUAUUUAUUUAUAAAUCUCUUCUUUCAUGUUUUUUUUCAAUCAAAACUCUCUCAAUUUGUUAUCGCGAUGAAUUCGAACGGGAAAGCCAUAGUCUCCGGUGAUCCGAUUGUGAAGAAACCAUCAGGUUCUUUUGAUCAAUUGGUGAAAUGAAGUUCGUGAUACCUGCAUAAUCAGAAAUUCCCUGAGAAAAAAACUCUGUUUGUGUUUUGCGUUUAGAAAAACUUACAUCGCCGGAGAUAAAUUGCAUGUGGAUGAUGUGAAGGUUUACUUUGCCGUUGUGGAGAAACCCAGCGAUGCUUUCCCCAGUGCUAGCAAUUGGUACGAUUGCCUUGCUUACCAUCUGCUAAAAGGUGGAUUCGAUACUAGACAAGGAUGAUUACACAUUGGAAGAGCUACUUGACUAGGAAGCAAUCAUCCAAGAAUGCAAAGCUUUAAAUAGCCGUCUCAUUCAUAUUUUAAGGGAUAAAGCUCGAGUGGAGCAACUCUUGCGUUAUGUUGGUGACAUGUUCUAAGUUUCUGCUUGGAAGAAAUCAUAAACUUAAAGAGGGCACCUGCAGCUGAUGACGAUGAUGACAUGGAUUCUUUUGGUGAUGAGACUGAGGAAAAAAAGAAAGCUGCAGAGGAGAAGGAGGGUGCUAAGAAGGACACCAAAAAGCCCAAAGGUUCUCUCUAUGGUUUGGAGAAAAAAAAAACAUAGAGAAACUGAAGGUUAUCAAUAUCAAUCUUUCUUGAGUAUUCUUUAGAAGACGUUUGGAAAGGAAGGAGAGAUAGGCUACGAAACUUGGGUUAUGACAAGAUAUUCUGAUAGAAUAUGCUCUCUAUGAUGAAAGCCUAAUGGAAAAAAGGUACGUCCAUAUUUUGAUCUUCAGUUUCAUUAAUUUUUUUUUUUUAUUAUAUUCCUUGGUUCAUGUUGGGUUUGCUGGCAAGGGAGGAAGAUGAAAAGCGCAGCUGAUCUCACAAGAAGAUUGAUGAAAGCUGAGACAGAUGUGCAACCCGAGGCAUUAAAAGUCUUUUGUUCUUUGGAUUGCACAGUGGUAAACCUCGAAGAUUUGUAUGGCACCCUAGCUACUACACUGGUAAAUUUUGAAGAUUUGUAAGUUGGAAAUUGGAGUUUUUUUUUUUGGAUAUACAAAGGGAGAAUGCUCAUCUUUUAUUAGAGUUAAAAUUUAUAAAUUUGUAAAUGUCCAGAUGACAAUGAUACAUUUUGUCAAAAGAUUUAUGGUAUACUAUUCCCUGUUUUCAUUCGA